GUUUUCUAGUUGAAUCGUAUGCUGAUUUAAGAAUCAAACUGUUAUACAUACUCUAGACCUAUUUUUUUCGCGAGCGAUUUAUUUUCUAGGCUUUCGCGAGUAGAAAAAUAACGCAAAUUUAAAUCGUCGCGAAUAGGUAUAACUUGGAUCUUUCCUUAUUUAACUACCGCAAGUAAAUAAGAAACUCGCGAAAUUAAAUCGCCGCGAAGUGGAUGAGUUAUAUAAACGCGAAAUAAAGUAUCCGCGAAAAUAAUUGGUUUACAGUAACAAAAUGAAACAAAACCUUCAUCGCGAAAAAAAAAUA
RNAcentral lists this long non-coding RNA (304 nucleotides) under Mytilus galloprovincialis (Mediterranean mussel). Lineage: Eukaryota; Metazoa; Mollusca; Bivalvia; Mytilida; Mytilidae. The record is from RNAcentral.